UUGAAUGGCUCAGUGAGGCGUUCGGACUGGCCCAGGGAGGUCGGCAACGACCACCCAGGGCCGGAAAGUUCGUCAAACUUGGUCAUUUAGAGGAAGUAAAAGUCGUAACAAGGUCUCCGUAGGUGAACCUGCGGAGGGAUCAUU
RNAcentral lists this ribosomal RNA (144 nucleotides) under Readeriella angustia. Its description in RNAcentral is "partial 18S ribosomal RNA". It matches the Rfam family "Eukaryotic small subunit ribosomal RNA", at positions 1689 to 1830 of the family's 1831-position model. Lineage: Eukaryota; Fungi; Ascomycota; Dothideomycetes; Mycosphaerellales; Mycosphaerellaceae. RNAcentral also lists the same sequence under 1 other name. The record is from RNAcentral.